This 404-nucleotide ribosomal RNA is filed under the name uncultured bacterium. Its description in RNAcentral is "bacterial SSU rRNA". It matches the Rfam family "Bacterial small subunit ribosomal RNA", at positions 356 to 774 of the family's 1533-position model. The record is from RNAcentral.
GGGGAAUUUUACGCAAUGGGCGAAAGCCUGACGUAGCGACACCGCGUGAGCGAAGAAGCCCCUUGGGGUGUAAAGCUCUGUCAGCUGGAACGAAAAAAAUGACGGUACCAGCAGCGGACGCAUCGGCUAACUACGUGCCAGCAGCCGCGGUAAGACGUAGGAUGCAAGCGUUGUCCGGAUUUAUUGGGCGUAAAGAGUUCGUAGGUGGUUUGUUAAGUUUGGUGUUAAAGAUUGGGGCUCAACCCUGAAACUGCACUGAAUACUGGCAGACUCGAGUGUGGUAGAGGCUAGUGGAAUUCCCAGUGUAGCGGUGAAAUGCGUAGAUAUUGGGAAGAACACCGGUGGCGUAGGCGACUAGCUGGGCCAUAACUGACACUGAGGAACGAAAGCCAGGGGAGCGAAUG